GCUUCGCUCGUGUGCAGUGGAAAUCCUUUUUAUUUUUUCUUUAAAAUAAAAAGAUUGCAACGGAUAGCUGGAACUAGC
Molecule: small RNA, 78 nt
Filed under: Flavobacterium aquicola
Lineage: Bacteria; Pseudomonadati; Bacteroidota; Flavobacteriia; Flavobacteriales; Flavobacteriaceae
Description: Flavo-1 RNA
Rfam family: Flavo-1 RNA
Source: RNAcentral